Molecule: ribosomal RNA, 430 nt
Filed under: Bacteroidota bacterium
Lineage: Bacteria; Pseudomonadati; Bacteroidota
Description: Bacteroidetes bacterium partial 16S ribosomal RNA
Rfam family: Bacterial small subunit ribosomal RNA
Source: RNAcentral
UAGGGAAUCUUCGGCAAUGGGGGGAACCCUGACCGAGCAACGCCGCGUGAGUGAAGAAGGUUUUCGGAUCGUAAAGCUCUGUUGUUAAGGAAGAACGAGUGUGAGAAUGGAAAGUUCAUGCUGUGACGGUACUUAACCAGAAAGGGACGGCUAACUACGUGCCAGCAGCCGCGGUAAUACGUAGGUGGCAAGCGUUGUCCGGAUUUAUUGGGCGUAAAGCGAGCGCAGGCGGUCAAUUAAGUCUGAUGUGAAAGCCCCCGGCUCAACCGGGGAGGGUCAUUGGAAACUGGUUGACUUGAGUGCAGAAGAGGAGAGUGGAAUUCCAUGUGUAGCGGUGAAAUGCGUAGAUAUAUGGAGGAACACCAGUGGCGAAGGCGACUCUCUGGUCUGUAACUGACGCGGAGGCUCGAAAGCGUGGGUAGCAAACAGG